This 83-nucleotide transfer RNA is filed under the name Actinomycetota bacterium. Its description in RNAcentral is "Actinobacteria bacterium tRNA-Leu". It matches the Rfam family "tRNA". Rfam says of the family: Transfer RNA (tRNA) molecules are approximately 80 nucleotides in length. Their secondary structure includes four short double-helical elements and three loops (D, anti-codon, and T loops). The record is from RNAcentral. Lineage: Bacteria; Bacillati; Actinomycetota. RNAcentral also lists the same sequence under 1 other name.
GCCGGGGUGGCGAAAUUGGUUAGACGCGCUUGGCUUAAAACCGAGUGCCUUCGGGCAUGAGGGUUCGAUUCCCUCCCCCGGCA